RNAcentral lists this ribosomal RNA (472 nucleotides) under uncultured bacterium. RNAcentral describes it as "partial 16S ribosomal RNA". It matches the Rfam family "Bacterial small subunit ribosomal RNA", at positions 28 to 507 of the family's 1533-position model. The record is from RNAcentral.
GACGAACGCUGGCGGCGUGCUUAACACAUGCAAGUCGAACGCUGAAGCUUGGUGCUUGCACUGUGUGGAUGAGUGGCGAACGGGUGAGUAAUACGUGAGUAACCUGCCCUUGACUCUGGGAUAAGCCUGGGAAACUGGGUCUAAUACUGGAUAUGACAUGCCACUGCAUGGUGGUGUGUGGAAAGGGUUUUACUGGUUUUGGAUGGGCUCACGGCCUAUCAGCUUGUUGGUGGGGUAAUGGCCUACCAAGGCGACGACGGGUAGCCGGCCUGAGAGGGUGACCGGCCACACUGGGACUGAGACACGGCCCAGACUCCUACGGGAGGCAGCAGUGGGGAAUAUUGCACAAUGGGCGGAAGCCUGAUGCAGCGACGCCGCGUGAGGGAUGACGGCCUUCGGGUUGUAAACCUCUUUCAGCACGGAAGAAGCGAGAGUGACGGUACGUGCAGAGGAAGCGCCGGCUAACUACGUG